GACGCGCAUUGUACAACUUUAUUCGCUACCGGCACAUACAACAUACGCUACCGGCGCAUAGCGGAUUGCUGCUCUUAACUGUCACAUUGGCGAUCCAAACCCUAUACAAGAAUGGGAGGUAAUGCUCUUGAAAUUCUUGCAUGCGUAUUUACAUUGUAAUUCUUGAAUGAAAAAAUCAAGAACUUGAAGUUAAGGAACUUGAUGGUAGUUUUCAAGAAUGCGUGGGAGUUGCUGGGUUUUUGAGGGGUCUUGUGAAUUUAAGGAGGCACAAAGGUUCUUGAAUAGUUGGUUUUCAACAGCACCUCAAGGCUGGUGCGACCAAGUUUGUAUACCAUGAGGAUGUGGAGGUUUUGUCUUCCCUGGAAGUUCAAUUGAACUUGUUUUCUCUCGAGCUGAUGAAACUGUUGCUUGGCACGGCACCUCAGGAAAAGGAAAAAAAAUAUAACCCAAAAAUGCUCUUUGCAAGCAAUCAACUUGAAUAAUGUUAGCCUAAAAAGGCAAGAAUGAGGCAGCGGAGAGCAUGGUAUUUCUAUCAAGGAUCAUCUGAAGUUGUACCUUCUUUUGAAGAAUCAUCUGAAGUUGUACCUUCUUUUGAAGGAUCACCUGGAGUUGUACUUUCUUGUUGGACAACUUCUUGAGUCCCCUCCACUAAGGAUUGGGUUCAUGCCUGAAAUAGCAAUUGCUACUCAACUAUGCUGAUCAAAUUCUAAAUUGGGGUUGGGGGAUCUGCAAUAAUCAUUCUCAAGCUUCAAGAUCAUUUACCAGUUCUCUGAAGAAUGUAUUUGCAACCCACAGCUUGCUGAUACAGAUGGAUCAUCAAUAGUUCCCCUAUUAGUGAAUAAACAAGGCUUGCGGUUGUGAUUGGGAGCAUUAAGUGAAUGCCUCCGGCUAUUUGGAGCUUAACCCAGUUUCCACCAGGUAUGUGUUGCUAUAGGCAUUGGGACCUGCUAUGGUAAGGUGGAUGGCAAUGGAUCAUCUCAAGUUGCACUUUCUUUUGAAGAAUCAUCUGAUGUUUAUUUCUUUUGAUGGAUCAUCUGAAGCUGCACUUUCUUUUGAAGGAUCACCUGAAGUUGUACUUUCUUGUUGGGCAACUUCUCGAGUCCCCACAAAGGACAAGGUAAGGAUCCACCAAUGUUAGCUUUUAAUUGUAGGAUAAGGCUGUGAUGAUGACAAAUGAAGUUGUAUAGGGUUGGGUCUGGCAUUGGAGCUACCCUUAUCUUGGGGAGGCAACCCGUUAAGGCAUCUCCGUUUUGCAGCUGAAGUCUGCAGCCAUUGCACUUGUUUUGUCUCCUUUUGCCUGGUUAAAUCUGAGCCUUGGGAGAAAGAAUUAACUGAAAGACACUCGAAGUCUUCUGAAUAUCCUUCUGUUAGGUUAGCCUAAAAAGGCAAGAAUGAGGCAGCAGAGAGUAUGGUAUUUCUAUCAAGGGUGGUUUCCUUCUCUUUAAACUUUUCCUAUGAGUACAUUUUUUAAAACAAAUCAACAGCUCUUAAAAAAGAAAGAGAAACAGAGAAUACACUUGAGUUUCUGGGUUUUUUUGCAUUUUUGCAUUCUUAGACGUAUGCUCAUAAGGCGAUACACACAACUAUGCUACAACAGCUUGACUCUGAAAAUUAUUAAAGAGGCAGUGAUGAUUUUUGGGCUAACUAAAUUCGGGCAUUGAGAUUACUCAACCCGUAUCAUUGCGGGGAAACCUGGUAUGGCCUGUAAUUGAGACGCAUAAAUCACACAUGCAAUCGUGUAUUCCAGCCAUGGCGUGGUAUGCUUCUCUUUGGCCUUACAUAACACAAAUCUGAGCCUCAAUUUGCUAAAGAGAAGGGAAAAGGGUCAAAUUUACCUCUUUUUAUGCACAAGGGGAAAUAUCAUUUCCAUGAUUAAUAUAGGAGAUAUUGAACCCACGCACGUCCUUCUGAUUAGCAAUUUUGAUGCUUUUAAUUCGUAAUGUGUCGUCAUCUUUUGAUAAGUACCAGCUCAAGAAUGAGGCAUUCAAACGAAAUGUUGGAUUAUUGAGUGGUGGUUGCCUCCCUCCUCUUGUAAACCCUAAUUCUAUUUUUGAAGUUUUGCAUUUCUAUGCAUCUUUUAUAGCUUCACGUUUAGAUUCCUCCCACUGAUGGAUAUAUGUCUGUCUAAAUGUGGAAAAAAACAUGACAAUCACUUCUUCUCAGGCUGGUUAUUCCAUUUUUAGGUUUCAAUAACACUGUUUAUAUCAGUUCUGUGUUUAAUCUUGUUGAAACCAAGAAGGAUUUUUGAGGGUUUAACCCUUUGAAGUGUCAUUGUUGUGUAUUGUCUCUUAAGGUCCAUUUUAUGUUUUAUUUGGGUUGAUUAUAGCCGGUGAAUUAUGAAUUGUAACUUUAAGGGAAGAUCUUUUUUGUUCAAACAUUCAAAUGAGAGGCUCUGAUAUCUAUUUUUGACGUUUCUUUGUUGGAAAUUGUUACUAAUACUCAUUGGAGGCCAAACGGACAUUGUAAGAAUUUGAAGGUUAAAUUUCUUUGAGUUUUAGUUGUUAGUAUUCAUUAAGAUAGCUUUCAAACAAAUACCCUAGUCUUUGUUCUUGCCAUUGUUUACAGGAUGACAAGUGUUUGUACCUUGGAAUUUGAUGAUUGUACACAAUAUAUUGGCACACCAGGUAAUUCUGUAUAAGGAUACCUGAUACAUGCUGGUUUUGUCUUCUGAGGUAUCCGGUGCUUCUGAGCUCAUCAUGAUUUGGCUUUGCACAGCUCAAUUUUUUUCACUCACCAAACCACCCUUAUGGUGAAAUUACACGACCUUCCAUUUUCCAUAUUAUUAGUAAUCUUUCCAGUAUAACUCAUAAGGGCAAUCAAACACGUUCUCUCUUGAGCUGAAUAGUUGUUGCUUGGCAUGGCAUCUCAUGUGGGUAUGUGAUUGAAGAAGUACCAUUUAUUGGUGUUUUUUUUAUCUCUAAAAGCUAACUAAUGCUUGCAGCCAUGACAUGUUUCUAAGCUUUUGAGCUGAUUCAUGUUUUGAGUUGAGUUUCUUUCCCAUCUCUCACCGGACCACCCUUUUCGUGAUAUUACACAUGCACUUCCUCUUUUCUUGUUAUUAUUACUCACUCUACUUUGUUUAAUACACAAUGAGGAUUUGGAGGUUUUCAUCUAUUGAUGUUCAAUCAAACAUGUCUCAUGUCGAAUUAAGAAACUGUUGCUUGGCACGGCACUUCAGGCGGGUCUAUGAGAUUUUGGGAAAUGUUCCUUUUUUUGGAUUGCAUGCAUUACUCAACUAAUAGGCUGUUUGACGGUUUUGUUCAUUAAUAUCUUACUAAUAUCUUUUUUUAUAGAUGUUCUUUAUUUAUUAUUUUGUGGUUUUACUUGUAAUUGGGGGAACUGGUAUGACUGUACACAACACAAAACAUUAAUGCUUACAUUUUUAUUUGGUUUUAUUGCAAGAUGUUUAUGUAUAUGGCAUUCCUGGUACUUCAUUUCCUAUAAAAUACUUCCUUUACCUGUACCGUGUCUAAGAAAAAUAGGGAAGGGCUGGAGGGGUGUACACACACUCACAUACAUACAAAAAGAGAUGAAAUAUAGUUUUUGUUGCUCACUAAUGUAUGUAGAGAUGUUUUGAUCACUUUUCCUUGUUGAAGUAUAGUUGGGACAUACAUUUUGGUGCGAAGGUACUUCUAGCCCAGCUUAUGGAGAGAGUAUAUGUGCCUGUUUCUUUCAUCUUCUGUUACAUUUCCUUUUUGUCUGGCCAUUUUAUCUUAUGGUUUUGAAUGCUUGCUUUACACCCGUGACGUUGAAAAUACACCAUUCAGAUGAUAUGCAUGCUUUCCCAGCAACCUUUGAUUGAAAAGGAGAGGCUCUAAGCUCUUACAUUUCUAACGUUUCUUUAUUGAAAAUUGGUAGUUAAACUCAGGGGAGGCCAAAUGGAUAUUGUAAGGUUUUAAAGGUACAAUACUUUUGAGUUUUACUUUGCAGUAUCCAUUAGGACAUGUAUGAAACUACUAACUUGGCCUUUGUUCUUGCCAUUCUUUACAAGAUGGCAGCAAGUGUUUAUACCUUGAUUAUUGUAGACAAAAUAAUUGUACAACAGGUAAUCUGCAUAUAAGACUACCUGAUACAUGAGUUGACUGUUGUUUACUGAUAAAGGAAAUUUCUAGGGAUUUCUCUUUGCAGUCAUUGUUCGUGAUGCUAUUACAACCAACCAGUUCGAAGGAAGCAAAUGUACUCUAAGUACUUCUAGUUUCUGACAAACAAAUAUAAAAUAUUGAAUUACACACAUUACUUUCUAAAGCUGUACUAUGUCUUGAUUGAUCUUUUUGUUUGCAUGUAUAGUCUGAAAGGCCAAAGAGGGUGUUGCAUUCUAUGAAAGAGUCUAUGCUAAGAAUCACCUCUGCGCUUUCCAAUGUCUCCUUCAAAAUUUCCAUUUUUGUUAUUUUUAGUACUCUUUCCGGUAUAACUCAAAAUGGCGAUCAAACAUGUUCUCUAUUGAGCUGACAAACUUGUGCUUGUUAUGACAUCUCAUGUCGGUCAUACUUUGGAGAAAGUUUCAUUUUAUGGUGUUUAUUCUCAGUAUCAGAAGGUUGUGGCUAAAUGAUGCUUACAGCCAUGAAAGCUUCUAUGCUUUUGAGCUGAUUCAUGUUUUGACCUGACAAUGUUCAGUUCCUUUCCCACCCCUCAUUGAAUCACCCUUUUCGUGAUAUUGCACAUGCACUCCCUCUUUUGUUGUUCUUAGUACUCACUCUGCUCCGUUUUAUGUACAUUGAAGAUUUUUAGAGGUUUUCAUCUGUCGACGUUCAAUCAAACAUAUUGCCUGUCCGGAUGUAGAAUUGUUGCUUGGCGCGACACUUCAAGUGGGUCUAUGAGAUAUUUUGAGAAGUUCCAUUUUUUGGUCUUUCUUCUCUGUCUCAUAGGCAAACUGAUGCUUGCAGCCAUGUUGGGUUUCAAAAAUUUUGAGCUAAUCAUGUUUGGGCAUCGCAAAUUCAAUUCAUUUGUCGCUAAAUCACCCUUUUUGUUGAACUACACAACCUUCUACUUUCUUGUUCUUAUAUUACUCUCUCUUGUAUAACUGAAGAAAAAUCAAUUUAGCAUGUUCUCUCUUGAGCUGAAAACUGUUGAUUGGCAUGGCAGCUCAGGUGGCUAUAUGAGAUUUCGGAGAAAGUUUCAUUUCAUGGUGCGUCUUCUCCGUCUCUUAAGGCUUACUGAGCCAUGACAGGCCGAUGCUCGCAGCCAUUCUAGGUGUCAAAGCUUUUGAGCUAAUCAUGUUUGGGUGUCGCGAAGUUCAAUAUUUUUGUCGCUAAAUCAUCCUUUUUUUGAAACUACACAACCAUCUUCUUUCUUGUUCUUAUUACUCUAUUGUAUUACUCAAUCAAGGCAAUUUAAUAUCUCUCUUGAGCUGAAAUACUGUUGCGUGGCAUCGCACCUCAUGUGGGUCAUGAGAUUUUGGGAGAAAGUUCCAUUUCAUGGUGCAUCUUCUUUGUAUCAUAAGGCUAUAACUGAUGCUUGCAGCCAUGAAAGAUUUUAAAGCAUUUGAGUUGGUUUUUGUUUUGGCUUAGCAAAAUUCAGUUUCCUCCCCCGCUCCCCCAAACCACUCUUUUCGUGAAAUCACACAUGACCUUCCUCUUUUUUUUAAAAAAAAAAAAAUUAUUCUCUCUGCUCCGUUUAUAAACCAUGAGGAUGUGGAGGUUGUCUUCCGUGGAAUUUCAAUAAUUCUUGUUUUCUCUCGAGCUCAUUAAAUGAUGCUUGACACCACUCUUCAGGUGGGUCUAUGAGAUUUUGGAAUUAAAUUUCCAUUUCAUGGUGUUUCUUCACUAUCUCACACGGCGAAUUGAUGCUUGUUGCCAUGACUGAUUUCAAUGCUUAUGAGCUAAUUGUGUUUGGGUUCGCGAAGUUCAUUUUUUUCUCUUACCAAAUCACCCUUUUGGUGAAAUUGCUCACGUCCUUCCAUUUUUCUAAUUUUUAGUAUUCUUUCCGGUAUAACUCAAAAGGGCAAUCAAACCUGUUCUCUCUUGAGCUGAAAAACUAUUGCUUGGCAUGGCAUCACAUUGGGAUUUGUGAGACUUUUGAAGAAGUAUUAUUUCUUGGUGUUUUUUCUGUGUCUCUCAAGGUUAACUAAUGCUUCCAGCCAUGACAUGUUUCUAUGCUUUUGAGUUGAGUUUAUUUCCCAUCCCUCACCGAAAAACCCUUCUUAUUGCACAUGCACUUCCUCUUUUCUUGUUCUUAGUACUCAGUCUGCUCCAUUAUGUACACAAUGAGGAUUUGGAGGUGUUCAUCCAUAAAUGUUCAAUCAAACAUGUCUCGUGACGAAGUAUAGAACUGUUGCUUGGCACAACACUUCGGGCGGGUCUAUGAGAUUUUGGGAAAUGUUCCAUUUUUUGGUCUUUCUUCUCUGUCUCAUAGGCAAACUGGUGCUUGCAGCCAAGCUGGGUUUCGAAGUAUUUGAGCUAAUCAUGUUUGGGCGUCGCAAAGUUCAAUUUUUUGGUCAGUAAAUCACCCUUUUUGAGAAAUUACACGACCUUCUACUUUUCUUGUUCUUAUAUUGCUAUCUCUUGUGUAACUCAAAAAAGCAAUUUAGCAUGUUCUCUUUUGAGCUGUAAAUCUGUUGAUUGGUGGCAGCUCAGGUGGGUGGAUCAGAUUUAGGAUAAGGUUCCAUUUCAUGGUGCAUCUUCUCUGUCUCUUGAGGCUGUCUGAUAUUUAGGAGAAAGAGAGCUGCAGCAGCACAUUUUAGAACCCACCACCUCAAAUACACCGAUCGCCUGUUUUCCUCCCAGAGCCUUCACAGGAUCAGCUCUUAAGAUGCCCAAUUCUAGCCUUCUUUUUAAGAAAAAGAUUUAGAACUUGGUAUCAAGAAAGAAACCUAAACACAUUUUCCCCUGUUCUUAUCUGCUGGAAAAUUCUUGCAAGCCUUUUUUAGAAAAAAUCAAGAAUUUUCAGGAACUUGGUAUCAAGAACUUUGCUUUUUGAAGUUACAUUGGUAUUCAAAAAUACAUAUUUUCAGGAAAUCAAGAAUUUUUCAGGAACUUGGUACAAAGAACUUUGCUUUUUGAAGUUACAUUGGUAUUCAAAAAUACAUAUUUUCAGGAAAUCAAGAAUUUUUGCAUGAAUGCUCUUUAAAAAAAUUCUUGAAUUUGUUGGCAUAUUUUAAGGAAAUUGUAGUUUUCAAGAAUAUAUUGGUAUUGUACAUACAAGAAAUCCUUUUUGAAAAUAUUAUGUUGUUAUUCUUGCAAUGUGUGUUAAGGAUGUUCAAGAUUUUGUUUUUACCUUUUUAGUGAGAUUGGUAUCAUUAAGUGAAUACCUCAGGCUAUUUGGAGCUUCACCCAGUUUCCAUCAGGUAUAUGUUGCUAUAGGCAUUGGUACCUGCUAUGGUAUGGUGGAUGGCAAUGGCAACUGUUAGUUUUUUCGACAUUGAUCUAAUGCACUUUGAUGUGCAAACAAAGUGAGCCCUAAUAUGAUAGAGACAAGUAUUAGAGAAGGACGGGUCCUCAAUCCUGCCAUAAGGAAUAUGAAUGUUGAAGAGAAUAAGCUUAUGGUGGCUAGUUGAUUCUUAAUGUUUACUUGUAAGAUUGGGGCCCCAUAAGGUACUAUCGAGAAUAUCUGGACUGGAAGUAACUCUCGAUAUACCUGUGAAUUAUGAGAUCAGGAAAAAGAGGUGCAGGCCCAGAGUUGCAAAGAGAAACUGAACUUCCUUUCCCGCAGCCAAAGAAACUGACUGGAUAGUGCACUGUCAGGAGAGAGAUUUGAUCUUCACAGAAUAUUAUGUGGGGAAGUGCUUCUGAAAAGCAUGAUCCCGAGUCCAAAUUCCCCUUGUCAGAUCAAAAGUUCAAGUCGGUCAAUCGAUAGCUCUCUUGCUCAUUGCAGAGUCUGUCUGAAUUGGAUAUCCAGAAGCUCUGUGCAACCCCUUUCAUCUUUACAGAGGAUAAUUUCCUGGAUAAGAAAUUCAUUGCUUCAGAUAGAUUCAAACAGUUAUAGCUUACAGAUCAAGCUUCAUUUAUGCGAUCAGGGAGAGGUUGCUGCAUUAGAGAAGGAAACCAUUUAUGCGGAGCCCUAUGCACAGAAGUCUGACCCCUGAUGGAUCAUCCUUUGAUAGUGAUGAAGAUACUAAGUUUGAAAUAUGUCCCCUGGAUUGUCAGAAACUUCUCCAACUCAGAUCAAGGUAUUGCACGGGGACUGGAGGCAUAAUAGUCGUGACACAUGCAAGUUGACCUGAACAUCACCCUCGGAAUUUUAUUUUUUAUUUUUUUGCAGAGAGAGAGAGAUAAGGCAGGUUUGGUUGAUUUGCAUCAUAAUUCAGAUUCCUGCUGCUCUGUUUUGGUAGGAUCAGCUUGUUCAGGUUUUUCUACUCUUUUUGCCUUUUGGCGAUGUGGUUUCUACUUUCACGUUUUCCUGAUUUAAUCGGCUUUUGAGGAACUCUAACUGUGCUUAGGAGGUUGAUGACCAACUUACAAAAAAUUUAUAAUGUAUUCUCAUAGUAUUUGUUAAUGAAGUCCUAAUUAAAUUCGUCCAACAAAUGGGAAUAACACCCCGAUUAUUAAAUGUUGUUUUUAUCUAUUCUAUUCGAUGGGGAACUUUAGGAGUUCUUCAUUUUGCUUUUAAGUGCUAUAUUGUGGAUUCUUUGUUGACAUUAAGAAGGGAAGAGCAUAAACUCAAUAUGUUUUGUUAAACGGUAGCCUCUUCCAAUAUUUGCCUUUUCUCUUUUUCUUUGAUCCUUUUUUCGAUGUUGACAGUAGUAAAAUCAUCUUUCUCCCUCAAGAAUUGGAGCUUGAGGUGCUGCUACCACAUUCCAACAAUUACAUAUCAAACUUCUUCAGAAUCUUUGCAUUCAUAAUCUAGAUCAGAAGUACUCUUGAGUCUUGAACUUGUUGCUUAUAAUUCAAAUAUCUGAUUUCAAUAGUAGGUUUAAUACAUGGAUAUAGAAGCCAACCAACUGAAGAAAAUUAAACGUGUGUGGCUGUGUUUGUUUGUAAAACAUCAUGUACAGUAGUAUCUGAUGGAUGUUUUGGACACUACUUUGGUUAUGGUAUGGAGUACCUGAGGGGCUUUGCAGCUUUGUGGGGUUCUUUGAGGGAUUCAGGGAUGCACAAUUUCACUCCUAUUCAUCUGUUCAUUCCAAUUGCCUAAAGCUCUUGUGAAUAUACUUACAAAUUCAAAUUCUGUAGUUCCUUGACUUCAAAUAUGUUCUCUUUGAAGCAUUAUUCGAGAUCAAUAAUCUCAUUUGUUGAGUUUAUCUGUAUUUCUUCUUCAGAUUUAAGUGUACCUGAAGAGCACGGUAAUCCACGUGGCAAUACUAUUUACGUAUACUAAAUCUAUUUGGUGCCUAUUUUAAUCUGCAUUAUAUUUUUAAAAAUUGCUGGCUAACAAUUUUGUGGGAAAAAUACUUUAACACUUGCUAUUUUGAUGGUAAUAUAGUUUAGUGCUUUUUAGAAUCAAUUGGACUUAGUUGGGAGUGGAAAACAAAUCUCUACGAGGAAAGAAUGUUUGACCAAGGAAAAUCAUAUGUUAGGCACUGACCUAUUCAACAACAAGAAACAGAACGUCUUCAGCUAGACUACACUUGUGUUGGGAGGGGGAGGUCAAGUGAUGAUCUCACUGCAUAUGGACUCAUAUCUGAAUUUUUGAGGUGGUUUCCAGUUUUAGUGAGUUUAUCUUUACUGAUGAGUAUCAUCUUGUUCAGGUUUGUCUACUGUUUUUGCCUUUUUGCGUUGUAGUUUCUAGUUUCACAUUUAGAUGAUUUAAUCGGCUUUUUUGGAACUCCAACUGUGCUUAGGAGGUUGAUUACCAACCUUAAAAUAGUCAUAUCGUGAUGAUUCCUCAUAGUAUUUGUUGAGAUGAUGUCCUAAUGAAAUUGUCCCAACAAGAGUGAAAUACACCUGACUUUUAAAUGUGGUUUCGAACAAUGAUUGGAUGGGGAACUUUAGGAGUUUGUUUGUUUUGCUUUAGGUGCUAUCGUGGACUGUUAACUGCUGACAUUAAGAAGGGAAGUAAACUCACGAUGUUCUGUUAAAGGAAAAAAGGGAAAGAGAAGAAGUAGAAGCCGCUCUUGAUAAAAGAAAAUGAUACUCCAUUCUGAUGCACUGUAUCAAAAUCAGUCAAUUUACUGCUAAACAAUUUGUUUUGAUGUUACAUGUCAACUCACCGAGAAUGCACUUCGAGUUGUUGUUGAGGAAGGCAUUGCCAAAAGCACUGGUGCACGAGGCUCAAGAUCUAUACUAGAAAGUAUUGUGACUGAAGCCAUGUUUGAGGAUGUUGACUUAAAUGUCGAAGCAACUCAGCAAGGGGUUGUCUACAUAGAUGAAGUUGAUAAAUAGCCAAAAAGUUCAAAAAUUAUUAUCUACAUGGAUAUGGAUAAUCGACUUUGAAGUCAUCCUUAUAAUUAGUCACCUGUUUAGGCUGAGAGCCUUAACAUUUGCAGAGAUGUAUCCGAGGAGGAUGUCCAACAGGCGCUGCUGAAGAUGCUUGAAGGAACUAGUGUAAGUGCACCUGACAAUAGAGCAUAGAAGCUUCCACGUGGCGAUACUAUUCAGGUAGAAAGUGAUGAUCUCACUGCCUAUGGACUUAUACCUGAAUUUGUGGCACGGCUUCCAGUUUUAGUGAGUUGUAUUCCAUAGAUAAGGAUCAGCUUGUGCAGGUUCAUGGAAGCAAACCAGGCAAGGAAGCUGUAGAGGUUGUCUUGGUUGAUGAAGAGGCUGUCGGAACAGCUAAUGCAGUUGGAUGUGGAGCAAAAGUUCUUUGUGGUAGCAGUCGGCUGGAGAAUAUUUCCCCUCCAUACUGGAUUAACAAUGACAAUGAUUGUAAGCGUACCUGACAAUAGAGUACAGAAGCAUCCACGAGGUGAUACUAUUCAAGUAUACUGAAUCUAUAAAAGCCUCUCUUGUCUACUUUUUAUAUUUAAAAAUUGCAGGCUAACAAUUUUGUGGGAAAAACACUUACAACUUGCUAUUUGGACGGUAAUAUAGUUUAGUGCUUUUUAGGCUCAAUUGGAUUAAGUUGGGGAUGAAAAAAAAUCUCUGCGAGGAAAGAAAAUUUGGCCAAGGAAAAUCAGAUGUCAGGCACUGACCUAUUCAACAGCAAGAAACAGAACGUCUUCAGCUAGACUACACAUGUUGGGAGGAGGGGGAGGUCAAGUGAUGAUCUCACUGCAUAUGGACUCAUAUAAUUUGUCAGGCGGUUUCCAGGUUGUAGCUUCACUGGAUGAGGAUCAUCUUGUUCAGGUUUGUCUACUAUUUUUGCCUUUCUGCAAUGUCGUUUCUAGUUUCACGUUUUCAUGUUUUCAUGAUUUAAUCGGCCUUUUGGGAACUCCAACUGUGCUUAGGAGGUUGAUAGCCAAACUCAAUAUGUUCUGUUAAAGGUAACCUCUUCCAAUAUCUGCCUUUUCUAUAUUUCUUUGAUCCUUUUUUCCAUGUUGACAUCAGUAAAAUCAUCUUUAUUCCUCUAGGUUUGGAGCUUGAGGUGCUGCUGCCGCCUGCCAACAAUUACAUUGUCAAACUUUUUCAAAUAAACCUCCAUUUUUUUUGGAUUAUUUGCAUUUAUAGUCUAGAUCAGAAGUAUCUUGAACUUGUAGCUUCGUAUUCAAAUAUUUGAUUUUAGUACCUUGACCUAGUUAAAUGCUAAAAUCUUACAAUAGUAGGUUUAUACAUUGAUAGAGAAGCCAACAAACUUAUGAAGAUGAAAAGUGUAAGGCUGUAUGUUUGUAAAACAUCAUUUACACCUGUUGUGAAAAGUCUUUUUGAGGUUCAACUUGCAUGCCUUAAGAAAUUAUUUGGUUAUGAUUUUUGGACACUCGGGGAAAGGAAAAAAAUAUGUAUAGGUCACUUGAAAAUGAAAGAGAAUAUUUGAAGUUUAUGUUCUCUUUUGCUUUCACAUUUCAUAUUGUUUCUUAUACUCACAUUGCUCCUGUCUUGGAACUAGAAGCUUCUUAUUGACCCUACUAAAAUGAUUGUAGUCUUUUCAUAAUGCAUUUUGAUGUGCAGAAAGGUCUGCUCAAUUUUAUUAUUUUACUUCAUCACAUGAAGUUGUACUUUCUAUUGGGAUCUGGUGUCUCACGAGAUGUACUGGUGCUGCUGAUGGAAGAAAGAUAUGUGAAGAUGACCUGCUUUUCACACGUGCUUCUCCUUCUCCUUGCUGCUGUUGUCCAAUGGGUUUGGGAUUCACCUGAGUUCCUUUAACAAAAGCGUUGUUGCAUUCAAGCUUUUUCUGGUCCUGAUGUUUACACAGUGAUGACAGUGAAGGUAUACAUGCCCAAAUUGAUGGAUAAAGAGAUGUGAUGAGUCAUCUUUUCUACACUUUGUUGUUCCUCUCUAAUUUCUUGAAAUUCCUGUAGAAACUUUUUGCAUACAUUGGUCACGGUUGUUAAUAAGUUUGUGAUGUUUUUUCCACUGCACCACGUGAAGAAUAUUUGUCUAUUCACAAUCAUGGGAUGUAUAAUUUUUUUGAUAACCGAGAAAUCUGUUUGUGACCCACCCUUUGGACCAA
Molecule: long non-coding RNA, 12420 nt
Organism: Solanum pennellii
Lineage: Eukaryota; Viridiplantae; Streptophyta; Magnoliopsida; Solanales; Solanaceae
Exons: 20
Source: RefSeq, a predicted model, not a curated record